RNAcentral lists this ribosomal RNA (253 nucleotides) under uncultured bacterium. RNAcentral describes it as "partial 16S ribosomal RNA". It matches the Rfam family "Bacterial small subunit ribosomal RNA", at positions 524 to 776 of the family's 1533-position model. The record is from RNAcentral.
UACGGGGGGGGCAAGCGUUGUUCGGAAUUACUGGGCGUAAAGGGCUCGUAGGUGGCCAACUCAGUCAGACGUGAAAUCCCUCGGCUUAACCGGGGAACUGCGUCUGAUACUGGAUGGCUUGAGAUUGGGAGAGGGAUGCGGAAUUCCAGGUGUAGCGGUGAAAUGCGCAGAUAUCAGGAGGAACACCGGUGGCGAAGGCGGGUCUCUGGGCCGAUACUGACGCUGAGGAGCGAAAGCGUGGGGAGCGAACAGG